GAUGAACGCUAGCUACAGGCUUAACACAUGCAAGUCGAGGGGAAACGGCAUUGAGUGCUUGCACUCUUUGGACGUCGACCGGCGCACGGGUGAGUAACGCGUAUCCAACCUUCCCAUUACUGUGUGAUAACCUCCCGAAUGGCACACUAAUACUGCAUAGUCUUCGAUGACGGCAUCAGAUUUGAAGUAAAGAUUUAUCGGUAAUGGAUGUGGAUGCGUCUGAUUAGCUUGUUGGCGAGGUAACGGCCCACCAAGGCUACGAUCAGUAGGGGAUCUGAGAGGAAGGUACACCACAAUGGAACUGAGACACGGACCAAAAUACGAGGGGAGGGAGCAGUGAGGAAUAUUAGGCAAUGGACGGAAGUCUGAACCAGCCAAGUAGCGUGAAGGAGGACGGCCCUAUGGGUUGUAAACUGCUUUUGUAUGGGGAUAAAGUUAGGGACGUGUCCCUAUUUGCAGGUACCAUACGAAUAAGGACCGGCUAAUUCCGUG
This 492-nucleotide ribosomal RNA is filed under the name uncultured bacterium. RNAcentral describes it as "partial 16S ribosomal RNA". It matches the Rfam family "Bacterial small subunit ribosomal RNA", at positions 28 to 507 of the family's 1533-position model. The record is from RNAcentral.